AGUCAGGCUCUGGGUGGAUGUCCCCAGCUGCAGCCCCCAGCUGCAGCCACUGGCAACCUAAAGAACCACAGGCCUCCUGUGAGAGAGCAGAAUGGUGCAGGAGGCCAAGCCACAGAGCGUGGCUGGGGGACUGCAUGAGGCCAGCUCAGAGGGAGAGUAUUGGUGCCCUGGCACCUCCUCCACAUGGAACCAUGAGACAGGAGAAAGGUAUGCCUAAAAAACCCUGAUAAAGCUUGUUUUUAAUUUAAAUUGAAGGAUGAAGAAGAACUGACAUUAAUACGGAUACCUCAUUACUGGUUGAUUUAUUUGGUUCCCAAAUCCUGGCUCUGUGUCAGACUCACCUGUGGAGAUUUAAAAAGGCAUCCAGGGUUUUGAUCCACACUGUUGAGCAAUGGUGGGCUUGGUUAAUCUUUAAAAAGAAUCCUAAUAGAAGAGGACCAACAAUAAUUGCAUUAUGCUUCCGUGUGAAUAACUUCUUCAGAUUUGUUUGACAGAACAGAUUAGAGGAGCUCAAGGGAGCAGACAGAGAAAAAGGUCGAGCUGUAUCUCCUGGCCAGUCUCUCAUCUGUCUCAACAUCUAAAGGAAACAAGCUCGGAAAGGCCAUCCCAUCGUAUUUUUAGAAGUACUCACAUGAACUCUAAACAACACCUUGAGAGUCAUGGCAAUGCCCCGGACGUUUUGUAUCUUCGCUGGGUGUGUGAUAUCUUCCUGCCUGCUGGCCCAGUGUCUGUUAAGGAAUUCUGCAGAUCCAGUGCCAGGCCGUGACAGGAGACUUGCUCUAAAACAAUCAUCAGCCAGGUGGAAACAACAUCAAAAAUAAUUCUGUUUGCUAAGAGCGUUGUUCACAGCACCUCACUCCAGAGCUCUUUUCCUCUGCAUCUUGGAGUUGUUUUCACAGAGCCCACUUGCUCACCUUAUACCCGACACCUCACAGGGCAUCAUGUCAGGUUGAGUGGUCUACCUGUAAGCCUUUCUAUGUUAGCAAGAACAUUUUAAAAAAAAACAAAAAAAUCCCUUUAUUGGUCUUUGAUUCUGUGCUCACCAAGUCUUUUAUCCCUCGAAGAAUUUACGUCUUGUAGAUCAAAUGUGAAGUGCAGGACAAAGGAAGACGUGUAUAUCAAGUAAGGAAACAUGCCGGACUCAGGUGCCACAGUGAGACCUUAUACAGCUGUAUAUACUUUUACCAUUUUCACAAAUCACAGGAAAUUUUAUCCUUAUAAAUGGAACUCCCAAGUCUUGUUUUUCUUUCACAACUGGAGGAAACUAGAAAAAGAAGGACUAUUUUUGCUUUGAGAUUGGAUUUAUUUUUGGCUUAUUUGUUGAUUUUGGGGCAUGUUACAAGCCCCUGUGGGGAGAGGAAAGUCCUGGAGUCAGCAGGACCAGGCUUUCCAUCCUGCCUCCGGCACCAACCAGGCGUGCACGGGGCGCCGCUUGACUUUCUGAUGGGCAGUUUCCUCAUCUGAAAAGCAGGGAGGAUAUCUACCUCCCAUGCUUGAUGUCUGCGUCCAGCACAUCCUGGGCAACAAGAAGCUUUAAAUCUGAAUUUAGGUUGCCUUUUUACAUACGUACCUGUAGGAAGAAAACGGACCCUGAGCCACUACACCAGAUUUUGUUUCUGCUGCUUCUUAGUUUUGAACAAGUUAACUCAGAAACAAAACCUUAGACCCAAAAGGAUUUUGAGGGAUUGUCCAGUCCAGCCCCCUUGACCUACAGAUGACAAACUGUGGUCCACAAAAACGAAGGGUUUUGUCUAAGACCAUGCAGCAAACAUUGACCAUAAACCAGGAGUCAUGGGGUGGCUGGGCCCAGGGUUUUCCAGCUUUACAGUCCUGCCUUUGGGAAAGGAACACAGCUUCAAUGGGAAGAUGUGUAUGGAUGUAGAUGUGUUAGGAUAUAAUCAUUUUUUGAGUGUUUACCUAAUUUGAUAUUCUGAGUGUCAGAAAAAGCUGGUUUAGAUCAAAAGAGGAAAACAGCAACUGUGACUAUUUCACCAGGAGAGAAUUACAAAGCAGAGAGCUUAGAGUUCAGAUAGAGCUCGGAAAACGGGGGCUUGGAGAAGAAUCUCAGCCU
This is a long non-coding RNA of Equus caballus (horse), 2071 nucleotides long. Lineage: Eukaryota; Metazoa; Chordata; Mammalia; Perissodactyla; Equidae. The record is from Ensembl.